AACGCGAAGAACCUUACCCAGGCUUGACAUCCUCUGCAAGCCGUAGAAAUACGGUGUUCAUAGCAAUAUGACAGGGAGACAGGUGCUGCAUGGCUGUCGUCAGCUCGUGCCGUGAGGUGUUGGGUUAAGUCCCGCAACGAGCGCAACCCUCGUCGUGUGUUGGUCCACAAGAUCUCUCACACGAGACCGCCGGUGAGAAGCCGGAGGAAGGUGGGGAUGACGUCAAGUCAGCAUGGCCCUUACGUCUGGGGCUACACACGUGCUACAAUGGAUGCGACAACGAGUUCCAAGCUCGCGAGGGUAAGGCAAUCUCUUAAACGCAUCCUCAGUUCGGAUUGAAGGCUGCAACUCGCCUUCAUGAAGUCGGAAUCGCUAGUAAACGCAGAUCAGCUACGCUGCGUUGAAUACGUUCCCGGGCCUUGUACACACCGCUCGUC
This 437-nucleotide ribosomal RNA is filed under the name uncultured bacterium. RNAcentral describes it as "bacterial SSU rRNA". It matches the Rfam family "Bacterial small subunit ribosomal RNA", at positions 958 to 1398 of the family's 1533-position model. The record is from RNAcentral.